UGACGGAACUCUUCGGAGGGAAGGCAGCGGAAUGAGCGGCGGACGGGUGAGUAACACGUAAGGAACCUGCCUCAAGGAUUGGGAUAACUCCGAGAAAUCGGAGCUAAUACCGGAUAGUUCAUCGGACCGCAUGGUCCGUUGAUGAAAGGCGCUCCGGCGUCACCUUGAGAUGGCCUUGCGGUGCAUUAGCUAGUUGGUGGGGUAACGGCCCACCAAGGCGACGAUGCAUAGCCGACCUGAGAGGGUGAUCGGCCACACUGGGACUGAGACACGGCCCAGACUCCUACGGGAGGCAGCAGUAGGGAAUCUUCCACAAUGGACGAAAGUCUGAUGGAGCAACGCCGCGUGAGUGAUGAAGGUUUUCGGAUCGUAAAACUCUGUUGUAAGGGAAGAACACGUACGAGAGGGAAUGCUCGUACCUUGACGGUACCUUACGAGAAAGCCACGGCUAACUACGUGCCAGCAGCCGCGGUAAUACGUAGGUGGCAAGCGUUGUCCGGAAUUAUUGGGCGUGAAGCGCGCGCAGGCGGCCUUUUAAGUCUGAUGUGAAAGCCCCCGGCUCAACCGGGGAGGGCCAUUG
RNAcentral lists this ribosomal RNA (580 nucleotides) under Exiguobacterium indicum. Its description in RNAcentral is "bacterial SSU rRNA". It matches the Rfam family "Bacterial small subunit ribosomal RNA", at positions 67 to 628 of the family's 1533-position model. The record is from RNAcentral. Lineage: Bacteria; Bacillati; Bacillota; Bacilli; Caryophanales.